This is a small nucleolar RNA of Spermophilus dauricus (Daurian ground squirrel), 74 nucleotides long. The record is from Ensembl. Lineage: Eukaryota; Metazoa; Chordata; Mammalia; Rodentia; Sciuridae.
AAGCAACACUCUGUCAGAUGAUCAAAACUGAAACAAUUUGAGCUUGCUAUAGCAAGAACUCAGGGGUACUCAAC